RNAcentral lists this ribosomal RNA (1342 nucleotides) under metagenome. RNAcentral's name for it is "SSU rRNA". It matches the Rfam family "Eukaryotic small subunit ribosomal RNA", at positions 401 to 1801 of the family's 1831-position model. The record is from RNAcentral.
AAACGGCUACCACAUCUAAGGAAGGCAGCAGGCGCGUAAAUUACCCAAUCCUGACUCAGGGAGGUAGUGACAAGAAAUAGCAAACCGGGAACCUCAUGGUUUCACGGUAUUGCAAUGAGAACAAUUUAAAACCCUUAGCGAGAAUCAAGUGGAGGACAAGUCUGGUGCCAGCACCCGCGGUAAUUCCAGCUCCACUAGCGUAUAUUAAAGUUGUUGCAGUUAAAAAGCUCGUAGUUGAACCUCUGUCUGGGGCUAGUUUUGGCUUUGGUCAGGCUAGUUCUAGGCAUCCGCCUACAAGACUUAGAGGGCAUUCAUUUGUUCACUAGGAGGAGUAGGCAUUUAACUUUGAAAAAAUUAGAGUGUUUAAGGCAGGCAAUCGCCCGCAUAUAUUAGCAUGGAAUAAUAGAAUAGGACACUUUUCCAUUUCGUUGGUUAUUGGAAUCGUGUAAUGAUUAAUAGGGACAGUUGUGGGCAUUUGUAUUUAAUUGUCAGAGGUGAAAUUCUUGGAUUUAUUAAAGACAAACUAACGCGAAAGCAUUUGCCAAGGAUGUUUUCAUUAAUCAAGAACGAAAGUUAGGGGAUCAAAGACGAUCAGAUACCGUCCUAGUCUUAACUAUAAACUAUUCCGACUCAAUGUUUGACUGGCUUAUAUAACCAGUUGAGCGUUGUAUGAGAAAUCAAAGUCUUUAGGUUCUGGGGGGAGUAUGGUUGCAAAGCUGAAACUUAAAGGAAUUGACGGGAGACACAACCAGGAGUGGAUUCUGCGGCUUAAUUUGACUCAACACGGGGAAACUUACCAGGUUAAAACAGUAGUGGGAUUGACAGUUUGAGAGCGCUUUCUUGAUUGGUUGGGUGGUGGUGCAUGGCCGUUCUUAGUUGGUGGAGUGAUUUGUCUGCUUAAUUGCGUUAACGAACGAGACCUUAACCUGCUUACUAGACUGGCGAUCAUCAAUCGUUAGCUCUUCUUAGAGGGACUUUGGUUGUUUUAACUCCAAGGAAGUUUGAGGCAAUAACAGGUCUGUGAUGCCCUUAGAUAUCCUGGGCCGCACGCGUCAUACAAUGACUAGUUCAGAAAGUUUUCUCCUGACCCGAAAGGGGAUGGGUAAUCUUGAUAAUACUAGUCGUGUUAGGGAUCGAUCUUUGCAAUUAUAGAUCUUGAACGAGGAAUUCCUAGUAAGUGCGGUUCAUCAGACCGUACUGAUUACGUCCCUGCUCUUUGUACACACCGCCCGUCGCUUCUACCGAGUGGGUGGUCCGGUGAGAUAAUUGAACUUCGCAGGUAACUGAGAGGAAAGAUUAUCAAACCUAUCCACCUCGAGGAAGAAGAAGUCGUAACAAGGUU